This 1475-nucleotide long non-coding RNA is filed under the name Sorghum bicolor (sorghum). Its description in RNAcentral is "long non-coding RNA (SBIC_LNC010676)". Lineage: Eukaryota; Viridiplantae; Streptophyta; Magnoliopsida; Poales; Poaceae. The record is from RNAcentral.
CCAGUUCCACAAAGCUUUGUUGUCUAUUUGAGCUCCACAGAAUUUAAGGAUCAAAGAAGACUAGGAGCCGGAGGACAUCCUAAUCGCUGUCAGGCUGGUGCUGCCGACAUACAAAUACACCUCCACCACCUGCUAGCUACAUGAGAAGAAAUUACGUCAAAAUCCAGCUUGGGGGAGAGCACCCCCAUUUAUCAAGCUAAGUGUUUCUUCUCGCGUUUAUACUUUACUCAAAUAAUAAAAAGAUGCAUAAUCAUAAAAACCCAAAUAAAGAUUUUAUGCUUAUAUAUAUAUCUAUGCUUAGUUUGCUAAAUAAAUAAAUAAAUAAAGUUUGCUAUGAACCCUCAUGAUAAGCUCUCACAUGGAUAUGAUGAAUAGUUGCUCUGCCAUGACUAGUUCUCAAAAUUGAAUUCUCUCUCAAGUUUAGGCAUGACUGUUAUGAAUUAAGAUUUACUCUAGACCUGAACUUGUGGGAAGAGUACUUGAUCUAAAGUCUAAGUCGUUAACGGAUAUGAUAUGGGAAGGUUGAGCGGUUGUUUAUCUGUUCCUAGAGAUGCUAGAAUUCUGGAGAAUUUUAUCUUUGAAAAUCUUUAAAAUGUUGCAUGAUGAGUUCCUGUAUGAUGAGAGUUUAAAAUCCUACCACAACCAUAUAUACAUGCUUAUUAGACUAUGAACCAUAUAUUUACUUUUACUACUUAUAAGCAUUGAGUGUGGUCAAGCUGUGUAGACCCUUAGGAGCUUGUCAUGCGGUUAAAAUCAAGAUUCACUUGCACGUUCACUCAUACAUGCUGCUUCUACUCUGGAAGUACGCAUCCACAUACAUCCACUCAUUUCCAUCUCCACAUUCACCCAAAAUUAUUCUACUCCUAUCCAGGAGCGAAUAGCCAAAAAUAUUAUCCUAUCCCUGUUAUUCCACAUGAAAUAAAUGCUCGAGAUAUUUUGGUUACUACCACUUGCUACAUUAUUCCAGGAGGGUGAGUGCUCUAAAAAAAAGUGAAUACGAGGAAAUACAAAGGGGCAAGUGCUCGGAACCUCGAAAGAAAAGAAAAAGUGAGACAAGAGGUAAAAAUGGACAAGUGUCCGAUAGUAGAAUUAGGUGUACAAGAUACCCACCUAAGGGAAAAGAAAAAGAAAAUAUAGAGCAUCUCAUUCCUCUCAAAAACCUUCAAAGUGCAAGAAAGGUAUGUAUCCCCUCAAAAGAGCAAAAGUAGAAUUAGACUUUCACCAUUAUCACCAUCAUCACCAUACACCAUUCAUCCACCACACAUGCACAUCUUGAUUUGACUUAUUGACUUGUUUCUCUGGAUCCAUGGUUUGACUAUGCAAUAAAUGUCUUGUAAGUAUGUAUUAGCUGUCUCCCACCUAUGAUCUCCAUAUAUCAAAACCUUGUUAGAGUAGGGUGAGAGAGAAGGCAAUAUCAUUAUGCCUCAUACCACAAAUACCACAUACUUUGAGAGAAGGCAUAUAUCAUCACUGCC